This 402-nucleotide ribosomal RNA is filed under the name uncultured Coriobacteriaceae bacterium. Its description in RNAcentral is "partial 16S ribosomal RNA". It matches the Rfam family "Bacterial small subunit ribosomal RNA", at positions 355 to 774 of the family's 1533-position model. Lineage: Bacteria; Bacillati; Actinomycetota; Coriobacteriia; Coriobacteriales; Coriobacteriaceae. The record is from RNAcentral.
UGGGGAAUUUUGCGCAAUGGGCGAAAGCCUGACGCAGCAACGCCGCGUGCGGGACGAAGGCCUUCGGGUUGUAAACCGCUUUCAGCAGGGAUGAAACUGACAGUACCUGCAGAAGAAGCCCCGGCUAACUACGUGCCAGCAGCCGCGGUAAUACGUAGGGGGCAAGCGUUAUCCGGAUUUAUUGGGCGUAAAGCGCGUGUAGGCGGCUUGUUAAGCGAGAUGUGAAAACCGGGGGCUUAACCCGCGGCCUGCAUCUCGAACUGGCAGGCUUGAGUCUGGUAGAGGAAAGUGGAAUUCCCAGUGUAGCGGUGAAAUGCGCAGAUAUUGGGAGGAACACCAGUGGCGAAGGCGGCUUUCUGGGCCACGACUGACGCUGAGACGCGAAAGCUAGGGGAGCGAACA